AGUGAGAUAGCUGGGUCAAAUGGUGGUUCCAUUCCGAGUUUUCCAAAGAAUCUCCAAAAUGUUUUCCAGAUUGGUUGCACCAAUUUUCAAUCCCACCAGCAAC
Molecule: microRNA precursor, 103 nt
Filed under: Marmota monax (woodchuck)
Lineage: Eukaryota; Metazoa; Chordata; Mammalia; Rodentia; Sciuridae
Source: RNAcentral